Non-coding RNA from Mycena polygramma, 92 nucleotides. Lineage: Eukaryota; Fungi; Basidiomycota; Agaricomycetes; Agaricales; Mycenaceae. The record is from the annotation of a GenBank genome assembly.
GGCCCUGUAGUGUAGCGGUCAUCACUCGAGAUUUUGAGUCCAGUUCACGACUGCCGUUUCUCGUAACCCCGGUUCGAACCCGGGCAGGACCU